UUCUUAUCAAGAUAGGUGGAGGGACUGGCCCAUUGAAACCUGGCAACAGACCUUUAGGUACUGUGCUAAUUCCUGUGGGUGUAUUUUAUCUCAAAAGAUAAGAA
This 104-nucleotide non-coding RNA is filed under the name Virgibacillus necropolis. RNAcentral describes it as "SAM-I sequence". It matches the Rfam family "SAM riboswitch aptamer (S box leader)". From Rfam's summary of the family: The SAM riboswitch is found upstream of a number of genes which code for proteins involved in methionine or cysteine biosynthesis in Gram-positive bacteria. The SAM riboswitch acts at the level of transcription termination control. Lineage: Bacteria; Bacillati; Bacillota; Bacilli; Caryophanales; Bacillaceae. The record is from Rfam by way of RNAcentral.